Molecule: microRNA precursor, 89 nt
Filed under: Pteropus vampyrus (large flying fox)
Lineage: Eukaryota; Metazoa; Chordata; Mammalia; Chiroptera; Pteropodidae
Source: RNAcentral
UCAGUUCUAUGGCCAUGCUACCCUGAACAAGCCCAAUCCCAUCUGAUCUCAGAAGCUAAGCAGGGUCGGGCCUGGUUAGUACUUAAAUG